CCCACGACAACAGUAGAACCCAUGUUUUUUCGAAAAACCCAUGUCUUUGCGGAAAACCCAUGCACAUGACCCAUUUACCACCCUAUAGAGCAAGUGCACGGUUAGAUGUCGUAGCCGCACGCAUUUAUGGAAAGCAAUCAAAUGGCCGUAGAAAACAAUUGGUAAUGAAUAUUUUCAAUUAUAAGGAAAGAUGAAGACCAG
This 201-nucleotide long non-coding RNA is filed under the name Elaeis guineensis (African oil palm). Its description in RNAcentral is "long non-coding RNA (EGUI_LNC003063)". The record is from RNAcentral. Lineage: Eukaryota; Viridiplantae; Streptophyta; Magnoliopsida; Arecales; Arecaceae.